GAAGAUCGCUAGGCUUUUUGCAGAUACCAGCAGAAGUCUUUGAAGAAGAAAAAACAUGUUUGUUACGGAUACUGACCUGUGAGCCACUGAGAGGGUAACUGGGGCCCAGAGAAGGGCCAGGCUGAAUUCUGCCUUUAGGACAGCAGCCCAGGAAGCAUUUCCUACCAUGUGCAGCCAUCUGCACCGCAUCUCCUGAACUUGCUUGGUCCAUGAUUUGGGAGCCCCGUGGUGAUCUUAAACGCCCAUGCGCAGCCGUGGCAUUUGCGGAGUGCUCUCUCACACGUUGAGUAUGGUUCUCUGCCUUGCCUUUACAAACAAGGGCCUGAAGGGGAGAGAGCUUGCAGCUGCCUAAGGUGACAGUGCUGCAGCCUAGACCAGAAUUGUUCUUUGGGGCAGUAGGCUUCCCCAAAUGGUUUUUCCUUGGCAAUAGGACUGUCCCUUAGAUGUCUCUUCCCAUUUGUAGAUCACUGCCCCAUCUCCUCCAUAUCCCCUCACCUAAAAUAGAAUGGGUGAAACUAUGAUGCUAUGCAGGAUACUGUCAUUUACAUUAACAUUAAACCGUACCUGUACUUGAUGCAAAGGACAUGUGCUCCACAAUCCAGGAAUAGCCACUUUCAGGGAUUUUCCAAAUCUAAUUAGAUUGAAAUGCAAAAUAUCCCUCUGUUCUAGCUAUUGUUAACCCUGGCUGCAUGUGGGAAACACUCAAGGAGCUUUAAGAUACAAAACACUGCCAGGCUCCCUUACCCAGUCAGUCAAAUCCGAUUCUGGAGUUGGGACCUAGGUGUGUGAUGAGAACUGCUGAGUCCUGUCGAAGGUUAAGCUGGGCAGCACUGCUUGGCAGCCACUGGAGGUGCUGUUCCCACCCAUGUGCAGCUGGGCAGGGUCCCUACCCCAGGGCAGCAGUUAAUGGCCUAGACACCCCUGCAUAUUUGAGAUCAAGAAAUGUCAGUAGUGGUUAAUAAUGUGAAUUCCACAGUCUGUAUCUUUCACACUUCCAUUCUCUGCUUUUAAGGUGAGAUUCUAAGUACUGUGGACCCAUAAUCUGUCAGGUAGAGUCUGAAAUGUUUUUCCUCUCAUUUUAGGGAUGGGCGUGUUUUGGGCGUGCUAGAGGUGUCACGCUCCAUUGGGGACGGGCAGUACAAGCGCUGCGGUGUCACCUCUGUGCCCGACAUCAGACGCUGCCAGCUGACCCCCAAUGACAGGUUCAUUUUGUUGGCCUGUGAUGGGCUCUUCAAGGUCUUUACCCCAGAAGAAGCCGUGAACUUCAUCUUGUCCUGUCUCGAGGUGAGAAAUCUCACACGGGGGUGGUGGUUGUCCCAAUUGUGUCUUAGUUUUCAGAGAAGUAGAAGUUCUGAGACCCCAUUUCCUCCCAUUGUGGGACAGCCCUUGUGCCCUUUUUCAGUGUGAACUCUGCCUACUGACUCACUGGUCAGUUUGUCCUGCCAGCCCUGAUGGAGACCAGAGCAGCUCUUCUUCCUGGCAGUCAUGUCUCAGGAAAGUGACAGGGUGCGGGGUCACUCCAUUCACUCAUUCCCUUUCUCAUCUGGUAGGAUGAAAAGAUCCAGACCCGGGAAGGGAAGUCCGCAGCCGACGCCCGCUACGAAGCAGCCUGCAACAGGCUGGCCAACAAGGCGGUGCAGCGGGGCUCGGCCGACAACGUCACUGUGAUGGUGGUGCGGAUAGGGCACUGAGGGGUGGCGCGCGGCCAGGAGCACGCAUGGUAUUGACUUAAAAGGUUCAUUUUGUGUGUGUGCACAUUGUGUGUUUUGUGUACUCCUGUGGGACUCCCAUGGUUGUAAAUAAAGGUUUCUCUUUUUUUU
Molecule: long non-coding RNA, 1820 nt
Filed under: Homo sapiens (human)
Lineage: Eukaryota; Metazoa; Chordata; Mammalia; Primates; Hominidae
Description: HSALNT0049472
Source: RNAcentral